RNAcentral lists this ribosomal RNA (445 nucleotides) under uncultured bacterium. RNAcentral's name for it is "bacterial SSU rRNA". It matches the Rfam family "Bacterial small subunit ribosomal RNA", at positions 354 to 796 of the family's 1533-position model. The record is from RNAcentral.
GUAAGGAAUAUUGGUCAAUGGACGGAAGUCUGAACCAGCCAUCCCGCGUGCAGGAUGAAGGUCCUAUGGAUUGUAAACUGCUUUUAGCAGAGACGAAACGCUUCCAUUUAUGGGAGUCUGACGGUAUCUGCAGAAUAAGCACCGGCUAACUCCGUGCCAGCAGCCGCGGUAAUACGGAGGGUGCAAGCGUUAUCCGGAAUCACUGGGUUUAAAGGGUGCGUAGGCGGAAUAUUAAGUCAGUGGUGAAAGCCUGUCGCUUAACGAUAGAACUGCCAUUGAUACUGAUAUUCUUGAAUUGGGUUGAGGUUAGCGGAAUGUGACAUGUAGCGGUGAAAUGCAUAGAUAUGUCAUGGAACACCAAUUGCGAAGGCAGCUAACUGGGCCUUGAUUGACGCUGAGGCACGAAAGCGUGGGUAGCGAACAGGAUUAGAUACCCGAGUAGUCC